Molecule: ribosomal RNA, 590 nt
Filed under: uncultured bacterium
Lineage: Bacteria
Description: partial 16S ribosomal RNA
Source: RNAcentral
CCGUCAAUUCAUUUGAGUUUUAGUCUUGCGACCGUAAUCCCCAGGCGGAUCACUUAACGCGUUAGCUACGGCACAGCAGGAAUGAGUACCCGCUACACCUAGUGAUCAUCGUUUACAGCGUGGACUACCAGGGUAUCUAAUCCUGUUUGCUCCCCACGCUUUCGCGUCUCAGCGUCAGUUACCGUCCAGAAGGGCGCCUACGCCACUGGUAUUCCUCCCGAUCUCUACGAAUUUCACCUCUACACCGGGAAUUCCCCCUUCCUCUCCAGUACUCAAGAAAUGCAGUUUCCAAUGCACUUCCCAGGUUAAGCCCAGGGCUUUCACAUCAGACUUGCAUCCCCGCCUACACGCGCUUUACGCCCAGUAAUUCCGAAUAACGCUCGCACCCUCCGUAUUACCGCGGCUGCUGGCACGGAGUUAGCCGGUGCUUCCUCUGGUGGUACCGUCAAACCUCAACCGUUUCUUAUCAAGGCCUUUCUUCCCACCUGACAGGGCUUUACGACCCGAAGGCCUUCGUCACCCACGCGGCGUUGCUGCGUCAGCCUUGCGGCCAUUGCGCAAAAUUCCUCACUGCUGCCUCCCGUAGGAGU